RNAcentral lists this ribosomal RNA (378 nucleotides) under uncultured Serratia sp. Its description in RNAcentral is "bacterial SSU rRNA". It matches the Rfam family "Bacterial small subunit ribosomal RNA", at positions 521 to 896 of the family's 1533-position model. The record is from RNAcentral. Lineage: Bacteria; Pseudomonadati; Pseudomonadota; Gammaproteobacteria; Enterobacterales; Yersiniaceae.
UAAUACGAAGGGGGCUAGCGUUGUUCGGAAUUACUGGGCGUAAAGCGCACGCAGGCGGUUUGUUAAGUCAGAUGUGAAAUCCCCGGGCCUCAACCUGGGAACUGCAUUUGAAACUGGCAAGCUAGAGUCUCGUAGAGGGGGGUAGAAUUCCAGGUGUAGCGGUGAAAUGCGUAGAGAUCUGGAGGAAUACCGGUGGCGAAGGCGGCCCCCCUGGACGAAGACUGACGCUCAGGUGCGAAAGCGUGGGGAGCAAACAGGAUUAGAUACCCUGGUAGUCCACGCUGUAAACGAUGUCGAUUUGGAGGUUGUGCCCUUGAGGCGUGGCUUCCGGAGCUAACGCGUUAAAUCGACCGCCUGGGGAGUACGGCCGCAAGGUUA